UAGCAUCCCUCUUCCUCUAUCUAACAUGAGACAGUUGAACUUGCGUUAUUCCGACAGGUUUCGUAAGUUUUACGUUAACUCGGUGAACAGUUUUUUUUCUUUUGGUCUACCGGUUCGGAUCAAUUAAACAGUUGUUGUUGUAAUGAAUGGCUCUGUUUUGAGUUUGCUUGUGUCUUAGGUUUCUUCGUACAGUUUGAUGAUUUCCAGGAGACAGAUCAGCAGGAAAACACGAAAACCAAUUUGAAAUCCAGAAGACAUUUCGUAAGGGAAAGGGAAAACCAACAUUGAAGACUUUUUCUCUGCUUUUUACUCGAGAUCCAGGAGAAGACGGUUAUAGCUGCAAUGCCAAACCCACCAGAGGAGAGAAAGCCAGUGAUGAGAAGUGCUACGGUGAUGAGAGCCGGGACGAGGAUUGGGCUAAAGAUAACAAGCAGAGGAGUGGCAACAGUCAAAGCAAUGACUGUUCCGACAAGGGUGAGACUGGAGAGGACAAGAAGGGACCCUCCAGCGGUGACUGCGGUAGCAGCUUUAGCAAUCUGCC
Long non-coding RNA from Brassica oleracea var. oleracea, 541 nucleotides. RefSeq lists it as uncharacterized. NCBI's taxonomy places the organism in Eukaryota, Viridiplantae, Streptophyta, Magnoliopsida, Brassicales, Brassicaceae. The transcript has 3 exons. The record is from RefSeq and is a predicted model, not a curated record.